This 1481-nucleotide ribosomal RNA is filed under the name uncultured prokaryote. Its description in RNAcentral is "partial 16S ribosomal RNA". It matches the Rfam family "Bacterial small subunit ribosomal RNA". The record is from RNAcentral.
AGAGUUUGAUCCUGGCUCAGGAUGAACGCUAGCGGCAGGCUUAACACAUGCAAGUCGAGGGGUAACGAUAUCUUCGGAUAGGCGACGACCGGCGCACGGGGGAGUAACGCGUAUGGCAACCUACCUUCAACUGGGGGAUAGCCCAGGGAAACUUGGAUUAAUACCCCAUAGUACACCACCAUCGCAUGAUGGAGGUGUUAAAGCUCCGGCGGUUGGAGAUGGGCAUGCGUGCCAUUAGAUAGUUGGUAAGGUAACGGCUUACCAAGUCUGCGAUGGCUACGGGGUCUUAAAGGAUGAUCCCGCACACUGGUACUGAGACACGGACCAGACUCCUACGGGAGGCAGCAGUGAGGAAUAUUGGGCAAUGGGGGCAACCCUGACCCAGCCAUGCCGCGUGCAGGAAGACGGCCCUAUGGGUUGUAAACUGCUUUUGUACGGGAAUAAAAGUUUCUACGUGUAGAGAUUUGAAGGUACCGUACGAAUAAGCAUCGGCUAACUCCGUGCCAGCAGCCGCGGUAAUACGGAGGAUGCAGGCGUUAUCCGGAUUUAUUAGGUUUAAAGGGUGCGCAGGCGGCCCGGUAAGUCAGUGGUGAAAGUUUGCAGCUUAACUGUAAAAUUGCCAUUGAUACUGUCGGGCUUGAAUAUAGUAGAGGUAGGCGGAAUGUGUAGUGUAGCGGUGAAAUGCUUAGAUAUUACACAGAACACCGAUUGCGAAGGCAGCUUACUAUGCUAUUAUUGACGCUGAGGCACGAAAGCGUGGGGAGCGAACAGGAUUAGAUACCCUGGUAGUCCACGCCGUAAACGAUGAUUACUGGUUGUGUGCAAUACACAGUGCGCGACUGAGGGAAACCAUUAAGUAAUCCACCUGGGGAGUACGUUGGCAACAAUGAAACUCAAAGGAAUUGACGGGGGCCCGCACAAGCGGAGGAACAUGUGGUUUAAUUCGAUGAUACGCGAGGAACCUUACCUGGGCUUAAAUGUAGAGUGCAUUAUUUGGAAACAGAUAUUUCCUUCGGGACUCUUUACAAGGUGCUGCAUGGUUGUCGUCAGCUCGUGCCGUGAGGUGUCGGGUUAAGUCCCAUAACGAGCGCAACCCCUAUCGUUAGUUGCUAGCAGGUAAUGCUGAGGACUCUAACGAAACUGCCGGUGUAAACCGAGAGGAAGGUGGGGAUGACGUCAAAUCAGCACGGCCCUUAUGUCCAGGGCUACACACGUGUUACAAUGGCCGGUACAAUGGGCAGCUACCUGGCAACAGGAUGCUAAUCUCCAAAGCCGGUCCCAGUUCGGAUCGGAGUCUGCAACUCGACUCCGUGAAGUUGGAUUCGCUAGUAAUCGUAUAUCAGCAAUGAUACGGUGAAUACGUUCCCGGGCCUUGUACAUACCGCCCGUCAAACCAUGGAAGCUGGGGGUGCCUGAAGUACGUUACCGUAAGGAGCGUCCUAGGGUAAAACUAGUGACUGGGGUUAAGUCGUAACAAGGUA